AACUCAAAGGCCGGUGCCAGUGCAGG
This 26-nucleotide non-coding RNA is filed under the name Homo sapiens (human). Lineage: Eukaryota; Metazoa; Chordata; Mammalia; Primates; Hominidae. The record is from RNAcentral.